GAUUACUUUUGGCUUUCCCAAAAAAAGAUCAUAAAGAUCAUACAUGUAUAUAUGGAAAGGUAAUCAAUGAGAAGUUUAAAAUAUUAUGUGGUGGAAUUGAAUUGAAAACCUAAAUGUAAAACUGAAAUUAUAUUUGUAAAAUUAUGUAAGAGGAUAAGUGAAUUGCUAAAAAUUAGCUUAAUUUUAUAGUUAUGUUUUGAUGAAAAUCUGAUUCCUUUUACUUAAAAUUUAUUAAAUUUAUCUCAAAAGUUUUAUGUGCUUUGUGUUUUAUGGAUAAACAUCAUGCCUACCCAAUUACAGUUAGACACAAUAUUAGGUUAUCAAUAUAUUGUGAUUCUUUCAACCAUACAAAAAUUCCUUUAAAAAUCCAUGGUAGUACUGUAUAUAAAUGAAUGUUGUAAGAAGAGAUACAAGCAAGAAACGUUUUGCCAACUUCAAACUCUAUUUCUAACCAAAACAAAAGUGACAUCUUUUAGUUUCUUUUACAAAUUACAAUGGAACUAUAGAUUAUAGUGCCAUUAGCUAUUGUCAUUGGAGUGUUCCUCGGGGAGAUUGUGUGUUCUAUUAUUUCGUAUUGCACCGGAGUCAUUAACAAGGACAUGGACGGAGACUAAUGCGUGAAGGAGACAUACAUAUGGCAGACGAAAUCUCUUUUAUGAAAUAUUAAAUAAUUUUUAAUUUGUGAC
RNAcentral lists this long non-coding RNA (686 nucleotides) under Arabidopsis lyrata. RNAcentral describes it as "long non-coding RNA (ALYR_LNC002382)". Lineage: Eukaryota; Viridiplantae; Streptophyta; Magnoliopsida; Brassicales; Brassicaceae. The record is from RNAcentral.